RNAcentral lists this unclassified non-coding RNA (331 nucleotides) under soil metagenome. RNAcentral's name for it is "partial contains 5.8S ribosomal RNA, internal transcribed spacer 2, and large subunit ribosomal RNA". The stretch from base 1 to 120 matches the Rfam family "5.8S ribosomal RNA", at positions 35 to 154 of the family's 154-position model. The record is from RNAcentral.
GAUGAAGAACGCAGUGAAAUGCGAUAAGUAGUGUGAAUUGCAGAAUUCAGUGAAUCAUCGAAUCUUUGAACGCACAUUGCGCCCUUUGGUAUUCCUUAGGGCAUGCCUGUUCGAGCGUCAUUUAAACCUUCAAGCUAAGCUUGGUGUUGGGUGACUGUCCGCUUCACGGCGGACUCGCCUCAAAAUUAUUGGCGGCCGGUACAUUGGCUUCGAGCGCAGCAGAAACGCGAACUCGGGCCCGUCGUAUUGGCUCCCAGAAGCUAUCUUCACAAUUUUGACCUCGGAUCAGGUAGGGAUACCCGCUGAACUUAAGCAUACAAUAAGCGGAGGA